RNAcentral lists this unclassified non-coding RNA (628 nucleotides) under Onthophagus taurus. Its description in RNAcentral is "dNA polymerase subunit gamma-1, mitochondrial, transcript variant X2". The record is from RNAcentral. Lineage: Eukaryota; Metazoa; Arthropoda; Insecta; Coleoptera; Scarabaeidae.
UAGUAAACAUAACCUAUAUUAGGUAUAAGAAACGUCACGUUUAGUUUUAAUCAGUUUUAAUUAAGUUCAUCAAUAAUUGGUUGUUAUUUGAAAAAGAAUGAAUAAAACUAAAAAUAUUUAUCUGGAUAUUCUCCAAGAAGAAUUUGAGCUACCUAAAGACAACCAAAAAAUUGUAAAAGUAAUUUAUAAAAAUCCAAAUCAUAUUUUUGAUGUUCUCGGUGAAGACGAGAUCGUUUUUAAAGCAAUUUUAAAUUCGCGUUUUCAAAAAACCGUGUGGGUUAAAGUAAAUAAGUUGGUUAUUGUCGAAGAUGUAGGUGGAAAUUUUCCGGAAAUUGUUAAAGUUCCAACGGACAAUUAUAUCAAAUUUUUAAGAAAAAAUAAUGCUAUUCCUUCAAUUUUUGAGGAAAAACUUGAAAAUGAUGGAGAGGAUUUGUUUUGUAUAAACCCAAACCAAAGGACAAUUGUAUAUUCAAGUAGUGAUUCUAGCAGUGAUGAAGAUAAUUAAGUAUAUUUAAAGUUUAGUUUAAGAAUAAAAUAUUUUUUUGUUAUAUAUUUUAUAUAAAAUAAAAAUAAAAGCAACAUUUUAUCAAUACAAAAAGGAAUCUAAACCGCUUGCGUACCAAACUGC